CCGGCCCCUCACACGGGAUAGCCGGGAAGGAGCUGGGAAGGGUUUGGAGCACUGGGAUUGUCACACGGGAUAACCGUGAAGGGUUUGGAGCACCGGGACCCUCACACGGGAUAACCGUGAAGUGUUUGAAACACGGGGACCCUCACACGGGACACGGGGAAAGGGGCUGGAAAGGGUCGGGAUCCCCAUGAGAGGCUGAGGGAGCUGGGAAGGGGCUGGAGAAUCCCUGAGGAGCUGGGAAGGGGCUGGAGAAUCCCUGAGGGAGCUGGGAAGGGGCUGGAGAAUCCCUGAGGGAGCUGGGGAGGGGCUGGAGAAUCCCUGAGGAGCCGGGAAGGGGCUGGAGAAUCCCUGAGGAGCUGGGAAGGGGCUGGAGAAUCCCUGAGGAGCUGGGAAGGGGCUGCAGAAUCCCUGAGGAGCCGGGAAGGGGCUGGAGAAUCCCUGAGGAGCUGGGAAGGGGCUGGAGAAUCCCUGAGGAGCUGGGAAGGGGCUCAGCCUGGAGCACAGGAGGCUCAGGGGCCCUUGUGGCUCUGCACAGCUCCUGCCAGGAGGGGACAGCCGGGGGUCGGGCUGUGCUCCCCAUGUUGGAUCAGAAUCUCCUCUUUGGCAUAAAAACACCGAUGCUGACCAGGAGCAGGAAGGAUAACAAGGCAGCAGGAAAUAAAAUUCCUACGGACACAGCGGGAGGGAGAACCUUGGAAGAGUUAAAGCCCAUCUCAUUCCAGCCUUGCCACUUUCCACUAGAGCAGGUUGCCCAAGGCUCAUCCAACCUGGCCUGGCGCCUCCUAAUGAUGUUAAUUAAUUCAAAUAUCUCAGGACCUGGUUGUGCUAUAAUGUACAUAUCCAUCAUCUGCUGGCUCUAAUUUAAGAGCAGUUGAUAUAAAUUACCUUUUACUCCACAAGUAAUGGACUAAAUCACAUUUUUGACCCUUUUGCACUUCAGCAUUUGAGGAGAUGACAGAUGUAAAGCAAUAUCACGUAUUUAACAGGAACUUGCAACUAAGAAAAUAACACCCAAAAAUUAUUUCAUGGAAUUUCAAGCAAGGACUGAGCCCUGCUAGGAAAGAUGGACCUUUAAUUUUGCUUGUGCUCAUCCUUUUGUAAAAGGCAGCAAUAAUUUGGAACCAGUGAACUAGAGACCAGAAAGUCCCAGGCAGGCCCAGCUGAGGGUUUUAUACAAUGGUUUUUCUUCUCAGCAAUAUUAUUUUAAAAGAAAUGCAAACCCACUAUCUCUGCUUCAUGAGGUAUAAAGACAAAUAUUUUUGUUUCCCUAUUGCAAGCUCUUCUCAAGUAACCAGACUGGAACUAUCUUUUGGGUGUAAACACUUCUCCCAUGAGCAAACCCACUGAUUGGCUUUAAUUUAUUUAUUGACUUUCUGUAAUUCACAACCCAUUUCCUCAAAGCAGCAUCAGCCAAUUUCGCUCCUUAUUAAAAUAACCGUCUCUUAAUUGAUAAAUUCUAUUUUUAAAGUAUUUCCUGAUUCGAGUAUGGCAGUUUGGGAAAUCUGACUAAACACAACUCAUGUCUGAGGUUAGGAAGCCACUGCAGCUUUCGUUUCCCAGACUUUCACAGCAUAAGCAAAAGCUGUCAAAAGCUGCCACUAGAAAAUCCUUUUAUUUAGAAUAUUUUGAGACAAACAUUUGACAGAGUUUUCUUUCACUUCCCCAUGUGCUACUGCAGUUCAGUUUCCAGCCAACCAGGAAAAAAACAAGUCCCCUACAAAGCUUCCACUAGUGCAAAUUUAUUUAUUUUUGAAGGUUUUUUUCCCCUCCUGUAAGACCCAAACUAAAACUUCCUUGAGCUUACUCCUCUUGAGGAAGACAGAAAACAGGUAAUUCUUCCUUUCAGAGGGCUUUGACGUGAGUUACGUCGUGGUUUCAUCCUGAUCAUCCUUUGUGCAAACUUCAGUUCCCGUUUAUUCUGUCUUUCUUUGCAGAUCAGCUUUCCUGGAGGCCUCCAGGGUGAGCCCUGGCAGGAUUUGGGAACCAGCUGGGAGCAGGGACAGGACAGGAGGCUCAGGCUGGACCAGCAGGAAUAGCCCCAUGGAAAGAGGAUUUGUUUAGAUAAAUACUAGUUUUAGAUGUUGUGAGAUUUUAGAGGAGCAAGUAUUUGGUUAUAGUUUGAGAGAUAUGGAAAUCCAGGAUGUCCUCCAGCCUCAGCACAGCACCCCUCUGCUCAGGCCUCCUCCCUUUGUGGAACCAGAACAACUUUUGGCUUUUGGAGAGGCUUUUAUUAUAAAUACAAACAAGGAAAUGUUUUUAUUUCCCCUCAGCCUCCACAUUUCACCUCAGACUUUCUCCCUCAAAGCACUAUAAAAAUAACAAGGGGCCAGAAGCCUUUCAACGAGUUUCAUGUUGAAAAACAUCAAAAUACCAUAAAAUACCAAGCCCUGAGUGGUUUUGCAAAGCUCAUGAGAAGAUUUCAGUGACCUAUGUGCAUGUUUGGGAUCGAAGUGUGAGCAAGAAACACAGAACUGUUCUCCAGCAGAACAAAACUUCAGCCUUGAGGGUUUAUUUAUUUUAAAUAUGUGACAUUAAAGCAAUUCCUUCCAGCAAUUAUGCUGGAUACACUCACAGAACCUCUGUGUGGCAGUUCAUAAUAAUUCCCUGAUCUCUUAGAAGGAAAAAUUCCUAAUCCCCUGCCUGGUUUUCCAUCCAUGUAAAUUCUCUGAGGAGGAGCAGAGAUGCCAGGCUGGGUUUGGGCUGGCAGGGACCUUAAACCCCAUCCCAUGGCAGGGACACCUCCCACUGUGCCAGGGUUCUCCAGCCUGGCCUUGGGCACUGCCAGGGAUCCAGGGGCAGCCCCAGCUGCUCUGGCAAUUCCAUCCCAGGGCCUGCCCCCCUCCCAGCCAGGAAUUCCUCUGCAAUAUCCAAUCCAAACCCACUUUCCUUUAAUUUCCUUAAGCCAUUCCCUCUUUUCCUGUCCCUCCAUCCCUUGUCCAAACGAUUCGUCUUUUAGGCAAAGAACACCAGGAGUUUGCACCACAGCAAGCACAGGGAAGUUUCCAAAAUAAAAAGUAAGAGCACAGAACUCAUAAAAGCCGUGAUAUUCCCAAGGUAUGACUCUUCAUUUAUGCAAAUCUGUAAUUACUUUAUAAUCAAAGCCUGGUUUGAGAGGCAGAACUGACACCGGGCCAGCAGGGGCAGA
Passer domesticus (house sparrow) is the source of this 3145-nucleotide long non-coding RNA. RefSeq lists it as uncharacterized. The transcript has 2 exons. Lineage: Eukaryota; Metazoa; Chordata; Aves; Passeriformes; Passeridae. The record is from RefSeq and is a predicted model, not a curated record.